Molecule: ribosomal RNA, 309 nt
Filed under: uncultured eukaryote
Lineage: Eukaryota
Description: partial 18S ribosomal RNA
Rfam family: Eukaryotic small subunit ribosomal RNA
Source: RNAcentral
CCCUUAGAUGUUCUGGGCGGCCCGCGCACUACAAUGGCGUGUGCAGCGAGUGCCGAAGUAGAGUUUUCCGAGGUAUUCUUGCAAUGCUCGUUUUGAUGGGGAUAGACCCUUGCAACUGUUGGUUUUGAACGAGGAAUUCCUUGUAAGCAUGGUUUAUCAUCCGACGCUGAAUGCGUCCCUGCCCUUUGUACACACCGCCCGUCGCUCCUACCGAUGAGUCGUCCGGUGAAGUUCGUAGACCUCGUGAUCGCGGAUCACUGGGGGAAGCAAAAUGAACCUAGCGGUUUAGAGGAAGGAGAAGUCGUAACA